GAUAAAAUCUGCACUUAGGCCACCAUUGAUGAGCUUUACAGAAGGAAAAGAAGAAACUAAUAGAGAGUAAUUGUUUUGUGAUGAUAUAUUCUUAUUUCAAUAAUAGAUCCACUUAUAUACAACACAUUUACAAAGUUAGUUACUAACUAACUUAUCCACCUGUCUACUUCUUAUUGGAAACUUAAUAACAACUUAACAAUCUUCUCAACUAACUAAUCUAUACACAAUUAUCAACUAACUAUUCCUUUAUUUCCACACUCCCCCUCCAAGUUGAGAAUGGAAAAUGUUUUUCAUUCCUAACUUAACCAGUAAUGUAGCAUGUUGUUGACGACCCAAAGCUUUGGUAAACACAUCUGCUGGUUGUUCCUUACUUGCAACGUGUUUUGUUCUUUCAUGAUACAUGGGAUUAGCUGCUAUUUGUAAUGCAGCUUUAUUAUCACAAUAUAGAUUAAUUGGCAACUGCACCUUCACCUGCAACUCUUGUAACAACCCUUUUAACCAAGUCAAUUCAGCUACUAUUUGAGCCAUACACCUAUAUUCUGCCUCAGCAGAACUUCUAGAGACAGUGUUUUGUUUCUUAGCUUCCCAUGAGAUGAGAGAUGUUCCCAAUUUGAUACAAAAACCAGAGACAGACUUUCUAGACAUAGGACAAGAAGCCCAGUCAGAGUCACAAUAUGCUUCUAUCUUCUCAUCCCCUUUACUAGACAUUAAAAGACCAAGCCCGGGCUGACUCUUGAUAUACUUUACCACAUGCAAAGCAGCUUCAUAAUGAGGCUGUUUAGGAGCAUGCAUAAACUGACUUAAGGACUGAACAACAUAUGAUAUAUCAGGCCUUGUGAUUGUAAGAUAUAAGAGUUUUCCCACCAAUCUCUGAUAGACACUCCUAUCAUCCAAAAGAACAUCCUUAGAUUUUUCAGAGAAUUUAAGAUCAUGCUCACUGCUAGUUAGUUUCAUGUUCUGCUCCAUUGGUGUCCACUUAGGCUUUGAACCACUCAAUCCAGUCUCUGAGAUCAUUUCCAGAGCAUACUUCCUUUGUGAUAAGAGGAUUCCCUCGCUUGACCUUGCAAUUUCAAUUCCCAGAAAAUACCUCAGUUCUCCUAGGUCCUUCAUCUUGAAGUUUUUAUGUAACUCAAGUUUAGCUCUAUUGAUUUCUUGUAGAUUAGACCCUGUGACAAGCAAGUCAUCUACAUAAACAAGAACCAACACUAGCUUGUUAUUAGUUGUUUUUGUGAAAAGAGAAUAAUCAUUCUUGCUCUGUGUGAAACCAGAAUUUAUUAGAACUUGUGUCAAUUUCAGGUUCCACUGUCUAGAAGCCUGUUUCAGACCAUAUAAGGAUUUGAGUAGCCUGCAUACCUUUGACUCCCCCUGGCUACUAAAACCUUGUGGCAAAGCCAUGUACACCUCCUCAGAAAGAUCACCAUUAAGAAAUGCAUUGUGGACAUCCAUUUGGAAAAUAGGCCAAUGCCUAAGGGCAGCCAAUGCAAUCACAGUCCUAACUGUGGUCAUUUUUGCUACAGGGGAGAAAGUAUCAUGAAAGUCAAUGCCUUCCUUCUGAGUAUACCCCUUAGCUACUAACCUUGCUUUAAACCUUUCUACAGUCCCAUCAGCAUGAUACUUUACCUUGUAAACCCAUCUAGAACCAAUAGGAACCUUCCCAGAUGGCAAAUCCACCACCUCCCAAGUAUGAUUAUGAUCUAAAGCCUCAAGUUCAAGCUUCAUAGCUUGAAUCCACCAAGGAUCCUUAACAGCUUGGGAAUAAGAGGUAGGCUCAGAAAUAGAAGAAAAUGAGGUAAGAAAAGCCUGAAAUGGAUAAGAAAGAUGAGAAUAUGAAAGAUAUGAUUGAAUAGGAUAAAGAGAACAAGAACUAGCAGAAGUAGAAGAAGUAGUAGAGGGCAAAGAAUGAUGAACAUAAUCUGUGAGCCAUAUAUGAGGCUUAGUAAGUCUAUUUGAUUUUCUUAAAGGAACAUGAGAUGCAUCAUCAUGUGAAGAAACAACAGGUGAAGAGGAAGAAGGAUUAGGACAGUCGGGAUGCUCAUCAGGAAGAUCUAAUGAAGAUACAUGAGGAGAAUCUGGCAUAGCAAUAGUAGAAGAGUCCUUAGAACCAGGAAGAAACUGUGACUUAGGAUGAGAGAAAGGAAAUAUAUUCUCAUGAAAUCUAACAUCUCGACUGAUUAUAAACUUUUCUGCAGCAAUGUCAUAUACCCUGUAACCUUUCUGAGCAACAGAAUACCCCAUAAAGACUCCUGUAAUAACCUUGGAAGAAAAUUUGUCAUGAAAAACAGGAAUAGUAGCAUAACAAAGACACCCAAAAGUUCUCAAAUGAGACAAAAUGGGUGGUGUACCAUGAAAAACUUCAUAAGGUGAAAUGUUAUUCAGCACAGUACUAGGAAGCCUAUUGAUAAUAUAAGUGGUUGUAAGUAGACAGUCACCCCAGAAUUUGAUAGGUAUAUUAGCCUGAAACCUAAUAGCCCUUGCUACUUCUAGGAGAUGCCUAUGUUUCCUCUCCACAACCCCAUUUUGUUGUGGAGUAUGAACACAACUACUUUGGUGAAUAAUCCCUUUGGUCUUGAAGAAAUUAGUGGAUAAAGUGUUAAAAAACUCAAAACCAUUGUCUGAUCUCAAGAUUUUUACUUUGGUAGAAAACUGGUUCUCAACAAGAAGAAUAAAAUCCUUAAGCAGCACAAACACAUCACUCUUAAGCCUUAGUAAAAAAAUCCAAGUCAUUCUCGAAAAAUCAUCUACAAGAGUAAGGAAAUACUUGAAUCCAUUAUAAGUGGGAACCCUGUAAGGUCCCCAAAUGUCAGCAUGAACAAGAUCAAACACAGCUGAAGUUUUAGAAAUACUAACAGGAAAAGGCAACCUAGUCUGCCUAGCUAAGGGACAAACAGAACAAUGACAAUAGCCAACAUAAUCUAGCAAUCUAGUUAUUACAGGUAUCCUUUUCAAAACAGAAAUGGGGGCAUGUCCUAGCCUUUGAUGCCAUAAAUGUGACACAGAAGCAGAUACUGCAGUAGUCAUGCAUUUGAAAAGAAAGCUUUUAGCAGGUGUUGAAGGACUAAGGAUGUAUAAGCCACCCUCUUGUCUACCAAUCCCCUUCACCUUGCCACUUGAGAGGUCCUGAAAAAGACAAAAAUCAGGGUAAAAAUGUACUGAACUAUUAAGCUCUCUUGUAUACUUAGCUACAGACAGUAAAUUGGUGUUAAACUUAGGUAUACACAGAACAUUGUGAAGAGUUUUAGAGGGUAACAAACUACAAGAUCCUGUAUGUGUAAUCUCAGUGCUCUGACCAGUAGGAAGAUGAACAUAAGUAGGUUUAGAUGAAGGAAUUGGAUUUAUCAGUGAACUCAAGGAAGAAGUCAUGUGAUUUGAGGCUCCAGAAUCAAUAAUCCAACAGUCUGAUUUAGUGGAACCCAUACCUGCCAUAUUGGCUACAUCUACUGGUGAAUCUUCCUUGUCCUCUCCUUUAUUCUUCCUCUUUAAAUCUUCCAUCAUUUGCACAAACUGCAAGUAUUGAUCAUUAUUGAGACCUUGGAAGACAGAACCCAUACUACCAUUCCUUGAAAUAUGCUCUUCCUGACUCAUCACAUUAUGUGCUGAUGAUUGAUCAUAAGAGGUCUUCUUUCUAUUAUUGUUAAACUUGAACCCUGGAGGGUAUCCAAUCAACUUGUAACAUGUUUCUCUAGUAUGACCCUUUAACUUGCAGUAAUCACACUUUAAUUCUGUGUUUGGAUUCCUUCUAGGUCUCAUAUUAGAGACAUUUGCAACAAUCAAGGAGCUGUGAGUCCCUUCUACAGGUGAAAUGCCCAAGAUUCCAUUACUUCCUCUUUGGAUCUCUUCUUGAAUCAUCAUAGAAUACGCUUGAUCCAAAGUGGGAGUAGGUGUCAUCAUAAGAAUUUGACUUCUUUGUGGAGCAUAAGUCUCAUUUAGGCCCAUUAAGAAUUUCAUAAACUUCUGCUGAUGCAAAUAAGCUGUGAAAUUCUUAGAUUUAUCACAAUCACAUGCUGGAAAGGGAAUUAUAGACUCAAGCUCAUCCCACAAAUCAUUCAACUUGGAGAAGUAAACAGAGAUGUUUUGAAUCCCUUGAUCAAUCAUACAGAUCUCCUUGUGAAGCUGGAAAAUCUUGGUUGCAUUCACUUUAUCAAAUCUUUCCUUAAAUGCCUUCCAAACCUUGUGAGCACUCUCAGAAUAUACAAUGCCUUUUCUCAAUUCUUGAGUCACAGAACUCAUGAUCCAUGACUGUACUAUCGCAUUACACCUAUCCCACUGAUGUAACUUGAACUCAUCCUCCAGAUACGUUUCUCUCUUGCAAGAUCCAUUAAUGAAACCUACUUUAUUCUUUACUAGCAGAGACAACAACAUCGAUCUACUCCAUUCUGAGUAAUUACCAGUUCCUGUCAACAGCUGAGGAACGAGAGAGAUACCUGGUGUAUCUGAAUGUUGCAUAUACAGUGGGUCAUUGCGAUCCAAUUGAGGAAUUGUUCUUGGACCUGUUACUCCAGUACCAACAGAUUCCGAAUUGUCUCCCAUUGUUGGAAAAAAAAAACUUUGAAUCAGAUAACCAGUAAGUAAGAACAAGAAUUUCAAGUGAGAACGAAAAGGGGGGAAAUCAGGAAAUCAAGAAGAGGAGAUCAGGAAGAUGAUGAAGAAGCUCAUCAGCUAUGGAACGCACUGUCACCUAGUGCUCUGAUACCAUGAUAAAAUCUGCACUUAGGCCACCAUUGAUGAGCUUUACAGAAGGAAAAGAAGAAACUAAUAGAGAGUAAUUGUUUUGUGAUGAUAUAUUUUUAUUUCAAUAAUAGAUCCACUUAUAUACAUCACAUUUACAAAGUUAGUUACUAACUAACUUAUCCACCUGUCUACUUCUUAUUGGAAACUUAAUAACAACUUAACAAUCUUCUCAACUAACUAAUCUAUACACAAUUAUCAACUAACUAUUCCUUUAUUUCUACA
This 4950-nucleotide long non-coding RNA is filed under the name Solanum tuberosum (potato). RNAcentral describes it as "long non-coding RNA (STUB_LNC003934)". Lineage: Eukaryota; Viridiplantae; Streptophyta; Magnoliopsida; Solanales; Solanaceae. The record is from RNAcentral.